AAAAAAAAUACUUCAAUAACCAACAAGAGAACACAAAGUUCGAUGACUACAUGAUAGUGUAAGUUAAGUAACUAACAAUAUUCUUAACCCAUUUAUCUCAACUUAACACACUUCUCACAAACCUAGUAUAGACUGAUUUACUUUUUAGUAUUGAUAACUUUUUUUUGUACUUAUGAGGUAGCUCUAAUUUUUUAUAUGUUUUUGCCAAUUCAUUGAAUAACUUCAAAGAGAGGAAAGAGAGGGGAGAAAUUGUAGACACGAUUCCAAACCUUUCAUUUUCUCGUAAACUUUAUCCAAACAUUUUAUUUGCACCACACAAAGUCUCAAACCUUUCAUUUCAUUACAGUAGAAGGAUAGAUAGACAGAUUCAUCGAUUUGAUCGUUAUUUGACCCAAAAAAUAAAAAUCUGGCCUCUUUUGACUAAUAAAAUGAAAGGCAAUAUGGUCUCUUUCAAAUUUUCAACUUUGAAAAAUGGGAAAAAAAAAUAUUUUUGACAGGGCUAGUAGUUCAAAUUUACCAACGGCACACUCCACAUUGAUCUCUACCCACUAGCAAUUCAUUGAUGAACUCUUCCCUUAGGUACUACUCAAUUUACGCCCUCUUUAAGGUUUCCAUUUGCAGCAUUUUAUCUCAUUUAUGGGAAUUUUUUCCAAUUGAUAGGCUGAAGCACGAGAGUUGAUAAUUCAGGAUGUCUCGAAGCUGUAUCAUGUAGCAAAAGCAUUAUGCAGUGCCCAAGAAGAUAUAUUGAAGUAGGAAUUUACUGACCUUCUGCUUUGGAAAUCGUCAUCAUGCGAGCUCAUGGAAGCAUUAACUAAACAAAAGUAGGUUUGUUUUAGGAAUUUGUAUCAUCUAUCUAAGAUAGUCAUUUCUGUUUGACUCAACUAUAGGUGCAAUUAGGGUUUGUGAUUGAUCUCUGUAAAAACUUGUUUCUACAAAUACAACUUUUAAAUAGCCAAUUUGGAUGGAUGGCCAUGUAACAACCCCUAAUCGAUGCAAGUGACAUGACCUGGAUUGUGCUUGUUGAAGUGGAUUAUAAGCGGUUGGAUCAAUCGACAACGAAGAUUAGGUCUUGGUCAAAUAUGACCUUUGGCUUUAGACAUCUCACUUGACUUCCUUUGGCCUUCUGUUGAGUUUGAGUCUUUUCUCUUUGUACUCCCAAUCUUCUCCUUUGUUUUGGUCCAUGAUCUCUUAUGAGAUUCUAAGCAAAAGUCUAAGUAAUCUUUUGUGAUUUAUACUGCUAUAGCAACUCGGGUCUGAAAUAGUGGCUUGUUUGUGCAUCUGUAGAGUGAUUAUGGUUCUAGAGUGAUUCAUGGUUGUGGUUUGCAAUUUAAGAGAUCCAUCUGCAGGUGUAUGACUAAAUCUUGGUCUAAUUUGGUUUAACAUUAUGUAUACUCUCUGUGGAAGGUUUUUGGUUGCACUUAAUGUUUGGGUUGAUAUUUGAGCCCUCUAUAUUAGGCUAUCGCUCAAUUGGGUGAAAAAAUUUUGUGUUUUUUAUUUUUAUUGCUUUAUGCUUGAGUUUAUUUUUCUUCAAAUCUAUUUUCCUGGGACUUUAAGGUUUCUGGGUGUGUGAAUUCUUCCCAAAAAAAAAAAAAAAAAAAA
This 1599-nucleotide long non-coding RNA is filed under the name Olea europaea (common olive). RNAcentral's name for it is "long non-coding RNA (OEUR_LNC000183)". The record is from RNAcentral. Lineage: Eukaryota; Viridiplantae; Streptophyta; Magnoliopsida; Lamiales; Oleaceae.